UGCAUCGGCCGGGAAUAGAACCCGGGACGCCCGCGUGGCAGACGAGCAUUCUACCACUGAACCACCGAUGG
RNAcentral lists this transfer RNA (71 nucleotides) under Cordylochernes scorpioides. RNAcentral's name for it is "tRNA-Gly". The record is from RNAcentral. Lineage: Eukaryota; Metazoa; Arthropoda; Arachnida; Pseudoscorpiones; Chernetidae.